CUCCAUAACAACUUCUUUCUCAGCAUUCAGUUCAUCGGGGGGCGAGCCACCAUUUGCUAGCGGCCUUCUCCAGCAUCAUCCGUCCGGGGAGCACCAUCUCCAACUGCAUCUCCAGCAUCGUACAUCGGGUGAGUAGCAUCUCCAACACCAUCUACAGAAUCGUUCAUCAGGGGAGCACCAUCUCCAAAAUCUUCUCCACCAUCAUCCAUCGAUAAAGCAGCAUCUACAGUAGCUUCUCAAGCAUCGUUCAUCUGGGUACACCAAUCUCCAUCAGCUUUCUCCACCAUCAUCCGUCGGGAGCACCGUCCCAACUGCAUCUCCAACAUCGUAAAUCGGGGGAGGACAUCUGAAGCCGCUUCUCCAGCAUCGUUUCAUCGGGGGGCACCAUCGCCUACUGCCCUUCUUCAGCAUUGUUCAUCGGGGGAGCACUGUCUCCAACUGCAUCUCCAACAUCGUACAUCGAAGCAGUAGCAUCUCCAGCACCUUCUCCAGCAUCGUUCAUCAGGGGAGCACCAUAUCCAGUAGCUUCUACGCAUCAAAUCCGUCGGCGGGCAGCACUUCUCCAGAACUUGCUCUCCAGGCAUUCGUUCAUCGGAGGAGCAGGCAUCUGCAUCUCCAGCAGCUUCUCCUGCAUCGUUCAUCGGGGGAGCACCAUCUCCAGCAGCUUCUACAGCAUCAUCCGUCGGGGGAGCACCGUCUCCAACUGCAUCUCCAACAUCGUUCAUCGGGGGAGCACCAUCUCCAGCAGCUUCUCCAGCAUCGUUCAUCGGGGGAGCACCAUCUCCAACAGCUUCUCCAGCAUCGUUCAUCGGGGGAGCACCAUCUCCAACAGCACUGUCUCCAGCAGCUUCUCCAGCAUCAUUCAUCAGGGGAAGCCCCACCUCCAGCAGCUUCACCAGCAUUGUUCAUUGUGUGAGCACCGUCUCCAGCAGUGAGGUCACACGCAUCUACCAGGGGCGUUCACCUGUACCACUAUAUAGUUUGUUUUGAGGCAUUAAACAUGUACUUUUGGCGUUACAUACUGUGUGUGAGUCCCAUCUGUUCCCUGUGCAUGGAGGCAUCAUACUUUCACUAGGCAGCCUUGUUUUCUCGCCGGAUCAGGAGGCGACAAUUGGUGUCCCGGAACGUGAUGUGGUGAGAUGGGUCCAGAGCGUGUGUGUGAGACAGCAACUCCAUUAUAGUUCUGAUUUUGGACAGU
RNAcentral lists this long non-coding RNA (1198 nucleotides) under Coturnix japonica (Japanese quail). RNAcentral's name for it is "lncRNA (ENSCJPG00005003179.1)". The record is from RNAcentral. Lineage: Eukaryota; Metazoa; Chordata; Aves; Galliformes; Phasianidae.